RNAcentral lists this ribosomal RNA (780 nucleotides) under Triticum aestivum (bread wheat). Its description in RNAcentral is "partial small subunit ribosomal RNA". Lineage: Eukaryota; Viridiplantae; Streptophyta; Magnoliopsida; Poales; Poaceae. The record is from RNAcentral.
AUGCCGCCUCCGCGGAGGAGUUGCUCCGUUGGUCGUGCCGCUCGCCGUAGCUUGCGUCGGGGCCAUCAUCUGGUCUGCCAAGGCUUCGGGCGGUGGCGAUGGGACGAGGAUGCGGCUUCGCCGCGUCCAGGCGACGUGGGCUCCCUCGCGCCGACGUCCACCGUCGCUUGCUCGCCCGCGCCAAUCGGCGGCGAGGAGGGGAGGAGGUCGGGGAUCGAGGGGAGGAGCGGCGAGGAGGGGGGUGGGUCGGCUCGGGAUCGGGGGAUCAGGUGGAUCCUGUCGGGGUGGCUCGGGAUCGGGUGGGAUUCUGUCUGGUUGGGCCGGGCAGUUCAAGGAAGUUCGGAAGAGUACGAUAUAACUGGAAUUAACCGAUGCAAGUCGAAGAAGGAUUGGCCGGUGCUGCCAGCUGGCGUCAAGUUCGAUCCCACGGAUCAGGAGCUGAUCGAGCACCUUGAGGCCAAAGUGAGUGCUGAUAGCGCGAGAUCUCACCCUCUCAUCGAUUUGUUCAUACCAACCAUCGACAGCGAGCACGGCAUAUGCUACACCCAUCUUGAGAAACUUCCAGGUAUCACACUGAGUGGCCUAAGCAAGCAUUUCUUCCAGUGCAAUUCUAGGGCAUUCAAAAGGGGCACGUGGACGCGUCGCAAGAUACAGUCGGAGUGCGGCAUGCACGCAAUGUGGCACAACACCGGCAAUACCUUGCCGGUGAUGGUCAACGGCCGGCAGACGGGCAGCAAAAAGGUCCUGGUGCUGCACACCAACAAGAACUUCGACCAAUAG